This 403-nucleotide ribosomal RNA is filed under the name uncultured bacterium. RNAcentral's name for it is "partial 16S ribosomal RNA". It matches the Rfam family "Bacterial small subunit ribosomal RNA", at positions 28 to 526 of the family's 1533-position model. The record is from RNAcentral.
GACGAACGCUGGCGGCGUGCCUAAUACAUGCAAGUCGAACGCAGUGGGGACGGGUGAGUAACACGUGGGUAACCUCCCAUCAGAGGGGAUAACACUUGGAAACAGGUGCUAAACCGAUAUUGGUGGAUGGAGCCGCGGUGGAUUUGCUAGGUGGUGAGGUAACGGCUCACCAAGGCCACGAUGCCUAGGCGACCUGAGAGGGGGAGCCGGCACACUGGGACUGGGACACGGCCCAGACUCCUACGGGGGGCAGCAGUAGGGAAUCUUCGGCAAUGGACGAAAGUCUGAACGAGGAACGGCGCGUUAGUGAAGAAGGUUUUCGGAUCGUAAAACUCUGUUGUUAGGGAAGCGGUAUCUAACCAGAAAGCCACGGCUAAAUACGUGCCAGCAGCCGCGGUAAUUC